UACGGAGGAUGCGAGCGUUAUCCGGAUUUACUGGGUGUAAAGGGAGCGUAGACGGUAAUGUAAGUCUGAUGUGAAAGCCCGGGGCCCAACCCCGGGACUGCUUUGGAAACUGCCGUGCUGGAGUGCUGGAGAGGUAAGCGGAAUUCCUAGUGUAGCGGUGAAAUGCGUAGAUAUUAGGAGGAACACCAGUGGCGAAGGCGGCUUACUGGACAGUAACUGACGUUGAGGCUCGAAAGCGUGGGGAGCAAACAGG
RNAcentral lists this ribosomal RNA (253 nucleotides) under uncultured Oscillospiraceae bacterium. RNAcentral describes it as "partial 16S ribosomal RNA". It matches the Rfam family "Bacterial small subunit ribosomal RNA", at positions 524 to 776 of the family's 1533-position model. The record is from RNAcentral. Lineage: Bacteria; Bacillati; Bacillota; Clostridia; Eubacteriales; Oscillospiraceae.